UGCCAGAGGAAGCUUUGAAGACAAGCCAUUGCCAGUGCCCCGCCCUGAUUCUGACUCUUGUGGGCCAAGGACAGACCUGGACUUAGAAUAUGGAUGACACACACUAAGUCUUCCUUCACAGAUACCUCAGCUCUGGGUGUCAGAAAACAAGCCUCCUUAGCUCUUCUCAGCACUGUGACAAAUGCUCUCCUUAUGACAAAUGGCAGCGAGUCUGUUUCUCCUCGGUUUUCUAACAGUUUGGCGCCUGGGGACAGUUAGGGUUGUUAGGCUGAUCAUCCCUCAGGAGGAAGGAGGGCAGCUACUGCAUAGCAGAAAUGCAGGCAUGGAUGGGCCGGUGUUUGUAAUGCCUGGUGGUGAUCAUGGCUGCUCCCCCUUGUGGUCAUGGGCUGGUUAUGUCCCUCUUUAUGACAGCAUAAUGAACAAGAAUAAAGUUAACCCCAAUGUGUAGCCUAGAAUGUGUUGUGAACAGCAUCCAGAAUAUACCUAUCAGAAGUAGUCUCAUCUGUGUCCCCCCUCCACCAUCUGAGAGACCCAGAAAACAGCCUUCACAUGCAAAGACAGCAGGACACAGCGGGCUAAGCUGUAAAAGGAUAUCCUGUUCUGAGAGGGACUGGGACAAAGCCCAGGUUGCUGGGGCCUGUGCUCCCCACCGCCCCCUCCCCCCGGAUAAUUUAAACAUUUAAACAUUUCUAUCACAUUCUAUUGUAAAUAUUGAGAACUCGGAGCAAAGAAGGAGAAAUGGAGAGACCCCAGGGAGUCUGAGAACUGCGAUUGGAGUCAGGAGAUGAAAUGGAAUGAGAAAGAAAGCUUGAACUCACCGUAAAGGCAACCAGAAACACUAAAAGGACUUAAAUAAGUAUGCAGUGGGUGCUCAAUGGUGCUUUCGUGCCAGCAAGACAUCUACUGCUCUCUCAGGCUGAGGAUCUCAAAGCUGUGUUUAUCUGUCCGUGUUUUCAAUGCCUAUACACAGUACACGGGAUUCUCAUGAGUGAGUGAAUUAAUGAAUGUUUCCUCCCAGGACAACUAGUAUGAAACCAAUUUAUCUUUGUGUCUAGAUAUGACAAUAGUUGAUGUUCUGCUCCCAAAUAAACUCCAAG
RNAcentral lists this long non-coding RNA (1097 nucleotides) under Mus spicilegus (steppe mouse). Its description in RNAcentral is "lncRNA (ENSMSIG00000021913.1)". Lineage: Eukaryota; Metazoa; Chordata; Mammalia; Rodentia; Muridae. The record is from RNAcentral.